CUCCGUGCCAGCAGCCGCGGUAAUACGGGGGGGACAAGCGUUGUUCGGAAUCACUGGGCGUAAAGGGCGCGUAGGCGGACCCUCAAGUCGGGUGUGAAAACUGGCGGCUUAACUGCCAGCCUGCACUCGAAACUGUCGGUCUUGAGUACAGUAGAGGAAAGCGGAAUUCCAGGUGUAGCGGUGAAAUGCGUAGAUAUCUGGAAGAACACCAGUAGCGAAGGCGGCUUUCUGGGCUGAUACUGACGCUGAAGCGCGAAGGCUUGGGUAGCAAACAGGAUUAGAUACCCUGGUAGUCCAAGCGGUAAACGAUGGGUACUAGGUGUCGGGGGUAUCGACCCCUUCGGUGCCGCAGCUAACGCAUUAAGUACCCCGCCUGGGGAGUACGAUCGCAAGAUUGAAACUCAAAGGAAUUGACGGGGGCCCGCACAAGCGGUGGAGUAUGUGGUUUAAUUCGAGGCAACGCGAAGAACCUUACCUGGGUUUGACAUGCUUGAGACUGCUGGUGAAAGCCAGUUUCCCUUCGGGGCUCUUGCACAGGUGCUGCAUGGCUGUCGUCAGCUCGUGCCGUGAGGUGUUGGGUUAAGUCCCGCAACGAGCGCAACCCUUGUCCAUAGUUGCCAUCAGGUAAUGCUGGGAACUCUAUGGAGACUGCCGGUGAUAAGCUGGAGGAAGGUGGGGAUGACGUCAAGUCCUCAUGGCCCUUAUAUCCAGGGCUACACACGUACUACAAUGGUCGGUACAGAAGGUCGCAAUACCGUGAGGUGGAGCCAAUCCCUAAAACCGGCCCCAGUUCGAAUUGGAGUCUGCAACUCGACUCCAUGAAGUCGGAAUCGCUAGUAAUCGCUGAUCAGCAAGCAGCGGUGAAUACGUUCCCGGGCCUUGUACACACCGCCCGUCAAGCCACGGAAGUUGGGAGCACCCGAAGUCGUUUGCCUAACCGCAAGGAAGGCGGCGCCUAAGGUGAAACCAGCGACUGGGGCU
This 981-nucleotide ribosomal RNA is filed under the name uncultured bacterium. Its description in RNAcentral is "bacterial SSU rRNA". It matches the Rfam family "Bacterial small subunit ribosomal RNA", at positions 501 to 1482 of the family's 1533-position model. The record is from RNAcentral.